UACGUAGGGUGCGAGCGUUGUCCGGAAUUAUUGGGCGUAAAGAGCUUGUAGGCGGUCUGUCGCGUCUGCUGUGAAAAUCCGGGGCUCAACUCCGGAUCUGCGGUGGGUACGGGCAGACUAGAGUGAUGUAGGGGAGACUGGAAUUCCUGGUGUAGCGGUGAAAUGCGCAGAUAUCAUUUGGAACGCCAAUGGUGAAAACAGGUAGCUGGGAGUGUGCUGACGCUGAGACACGAAAGCCAGGGGAGCGAACGGG
Molecule: ribosomal RNA, 253 nt
Filed under: uncultured bacterium
Lineage: Bacteria
Description: partial 16S ribosomal RNA
Rfam family: Bacterial small subunit ribosomal RNA
Source: RNAcentral